GUGCCAGCAGCCGCGGUAAUACAGAGGGGGCAAGCGUUAUUCGGAAUUAUUGGGCGUAAAGGGCGCGUAGGCGGCCGUGCAAGUGGAAGGUGAAAUCCCUCGGCUCAACCGAGGAACUGCCUUUCAAACUGCUUGGCUUGAGUCCGGGAGAGGUGAGUGGAAUUCCCAGUGUAGCGGUGAAAUGCGUAGAUAUUGGGAGGAACACCAGUGGCGAAGGCGGCUCACUGGACCGGAACUGACGCUGAGGCGCGAAAGCGUGGGGAGCAAACGGGAUUAGAUACCCGUGUAGUCC
This 292-nucleotide ribosomal RNA is filed under the name uncultured bacterium. RNAcentral describes it as "partial 16S ribosomal RNA". It matches the Rfam family "Bacterial small subunit ribosomal RNA", at positions 505 to 796 of the family's 1533-position model. The record is from RNAcentral.